GGUUAUAAGAUCCCUCGAAGAUGACGAGGUUAAUAGGUUCGAGGUGGAAGCGUGGUGACACGUGGAGCUGACGAAUACUAAUCGAUCGAAGACUUAAUCAA
RNAcentral lists this ribosomal RNA (101 nucleotides) under Staphylococcus epidermidis. RNAcentral describes it as "partial 23S ribosomal RNA". It matches the Rfam family "Bacterial large subunit ribosomal RNA", at positions 2824 to 2925 of the family's 2925-position model. Lineage: Bacteria; Bacillati; Bacillota; Bacilli; Caryophanales; Staphylococcaceae. The record is from RNAcentral.